AGAACAUAUCCCCAUUGUUAGGAGGCGCACGACUGUAUUUAGUCCAACAACUUGCUGAAAUGUGAUUCUACCAUUUUUCCAGUCAACUCCUAAGUUUUAAAUACCAUACAUCUGCCACCUUACCAGGCAGUUUCAACCAUAACAACAGAAGAAUACUCUUGGCAAAUAGAUCCCACUCUCUGAGGGUUGUGUUGGGGCUCAGAAAAUACUACCCCGAAGUAUGACACUUUGGCAUGCUGAAUACUUUGAACUAAAAGAGAUUGGAAGGCCUCAGAAGCAGCCUCGGAAGCAGUCUCUCCCUCUGAUCUCCUGCCCUUCUGUCUCCUGCCCAUCUUUCGUCCCAGAAGUGAGUCACAGAAACCAGAAUUCUUCCCCAAGGAGUGGUGGCUGUGAUCCUUACAAUGGGUGGUGAGGAAAGGUACUAAAGUUUUCGGCCCCUACGUUGCACUUUAAAUAAAUAAAUGUAUAAAAGCAAAGUAGACAAAGACACAUGAAGUCAUAAUGAAAAUACCAGAGUCAGCCAAGGAAGAAGGCAGACUUGCAGUUGAAAUGCUCCAGAUCACUUUGUCCACCGAACGAAAACAUCUAAGAACAUACAGUCCAUACUCCAAGUUUUAAACGACUGUCCACCAAGAAGGGAAAAGGAGAACUGAUGGCUCCUCUUAGGCCCAUUCAAGACAAGGGGGUCCCAAUUCCCUUGCUUUAGACUGGUGGGACUGGCAGGUAAACCUGAGGCAAAUGACUGACUACAGGUUCCAAGGCCAGUUACUCCAAUUAGAAAGCAAAACACAAAGUUUCAAAAAA
Molecule: long non-coding RNA, 804 nt
Organism: Homo sapiens (human)
Lineage: Eukaryota; Metazoa; Chordata; Mammalia; Primates; Hominidae
Gene: PARP11-AS1
Product: PARP11 antisense RNA 1
Source: Ensembl